Molecule: ribosomal RNA, 775 nt
Filed under: uncultured Neocallimastigales
Lineage: Eukaryota; Fungi; Neocallimastigomycota; Neocallimastigomycetes; Neocallimastigales
Description: partial large subunit ribosomal RNA
Rfam family: Eukaryotic large subunit ribosomal RNA
Source: RNAcentral
GUACACGCUGUGACUAGCAUAUCAAUAAGCGGAGGAAAAGAAACUAACUAGGAUUCCCUCAGUAACGGCGAGUGAAGCGGGAAGAGCUCAAAUUUGAAAUCUUCAAGGUUCUACCUUGACGAAUUGUAGUUUAAAGAAGUGUUUUCUGUUGGAGCUUUUGGUAAAAGUUCUUUGGAAUAGGACAUCAUAGAGGGUGAGAAUCCCGUAUUUGACCAUUAUUUCCAGCUUUGUGAUACACUUUCAAAGAGUCGGAUUGUUUGGGAAUGCAGUCCAAAAUGGGUGGUAAAUUUCAUCUAAAGCUAAAUAUUGGCGAGAGACCGAUAGCGAACAAGUACCGUGAGGGAAAGAUGAAAAGAACUUUGAAAAGAGAGUUAAACAGUACGUGAAAUUGUCAAAAGGGAAGCGUUUGACACCAGUGUUGUUUUCUCGAAAAUCAAUUAAAAAAGGCAGGAUUUUGUGUUGUAUUGACUUUAUCAGCUUUCUGCACUCUUUUCUUGUCUUUUUUAAUGCACUUUUCGUUUAACAAGUCAACAUCAAUUUCUUUUGUUGUAAAAGGGUCAUUGGAAGGUGGCUUUCUUUUCGGAGAAAGUGUUUAUAGCCUUUGGCCUCUGCAAUCGGAGAGAUUGAGGUCUGCAGCGUAGAUCCUUCGGGGUUAGAUACAUUUGUGCUAAGUUAUAGCCUUUCAUAGACAACUUGUUGACUAUGAUCAGUCAUGUAGCUUACUCGCUUAUGCUAUUUUACCUACGCUUAGGAUGUUGAAGACUCUACAGAGAUA